ACAAGAAAAUUAGCCGGUCAUGGUGGCACACACCUGUAAAUUCCAGCUAUUUGGGAGGCUGAGGCAGGAGAAUCGCUUGAACCCUGGUGGCAGAGGUUGUGGUGAGCAGAGGUCAGCCUACAUCAAGCUUCUCCUUGUUCUAUGUGUGAACAGCUAGUCUGUAUCUUCACCGAAGCAUAUUUAAAAAUCAACCUUAGGAAGGCCCUUGGCCACCAUAAUCCUUCCACACUAGCAAGAGCCCAGCCUCUGAGACUAGGCGUCCUUUCGCCUCCCACUGGAAUGCCUUCCCCCGAAUCUCCAAGGUACCAAACCGCUCAGGGGCAGCUGAGACAGCCCUACUUCUGGGAGUCCUCCCCAACCCUUGAAAUCACAGGCAUCUCUGCUGUCCCUGCCCUUCAUCCACAUCACUGAACAAUUCAUUGCACACAUCUCUGUACUUUUAUUUAAACCGUUCCAUGUGUGUUUACAAUUAACUACUUCAUGAAUGACUGCGGUAUGGAUGGAGCAGAAAGGAAUGCUGAGGGAGGACUCCUGUUCGAAUGAGCCCCUCUUCCAGAACUAGGAAUGAACUUUCCCCAGUACCAACAAGGCAGCCUCCCGGGCAAGAAAAGGUAACGGGAUCCAUCCUGCUGACAUCCAAGAUGGAAUUACAGGGUGCCUCCGACAUCUGCACAGCGCACACAACCAAGCUUAGGAACCCACUGUUAAGAUGCCCAAGUGACACAGACAAGUUUCUCCUCUGCGAGCCAAUGAGAUCUGCUGACAGAGCAUCGCGGGACCACUUAAGGAUUCUGGAAAAUGUGGUCCUGGGUGGUCACUGUCCACUGACCUUCGCCUGUAGUAGAGAUGGUGUUUCGCCACAUUGCCCAGCCUGGUCUCAAAUUCCUGACCUCAAGUGAUCCACCUGCCUUGGCCUCCCAAAGUGCUGGGAUUACAGGCGUGAGCCAUGAAGCCAUGCUUCAAAUCAGAGGGACUAGAAACCUCCCCGAGGGAGCAACAGGGAUCGGGGAUUCUAGGAGGAUCCAGGGCCUGUGCAAAGACCAAGCAGUGAACAGACGUAUGUGUCAGUGAUUCGCCUGUCAUGAACUCAACACCAUCUAACACCGCAGCUCACAUUUCUGUGUGCAUCAGACUCACCUGGGGGCUUAUUAAAUACAGAUUGUUGGGUCUCACCCCUAGAGUUUCUGCUUCAGUAUUCUGGGGAGCAGCCUGUGAACCUGUAUUUCCAGCAUGAUUUUCAGGUGCUACUGAUACUGUUGGUCCAAGGACCACACUAUGACCUAAUUUAACACCAGGUUAGGGGAGGUACUAAGGAGCAAAAAGCAACAGAAGAAGGGACCUGAAGCCUGUAGGGGCUUCUCUGUAAACUCCUCAAACAUAAAAGCCUUCAAGGCUCUCAAACAGCUUUUACAGCAUCAUGUCUACAAAUACAAGGUGCCACGCAGGGAGACUUCAUUCAAGCAGAGAGAAGAGCCCACUGCGUGUCCUGUAGUCCGUUUGUGUUGCUGUAACAGAAUACCAGAGACUGGGUGAUUUAUAAGCAAGAGUUCACUUGGUUUAUGGUUCUGGACACUGGGAAAGUGAGGGGCCUGCAUCUGGUGAAGGUCUUGCUGUGCCGUCCUGUGGUAGAAGGUGGAAGGACAAGAGAGUGACCACAUGUGAGAGGGAGGAGGGGGGAAAGAGAGAAAGGAAGGAAGCCAACCUCAUCCUUUUAUCAGGAACCCACUCCCAAGGUAUCUAACCCACUCUGCCUUCAUCCAUUCAUGAGGGCGGAGCCUUCACCACCUAAUCACCUCUUGAAGGCUGCACUGGUCAUUGCUGUUGCAUCAGGGGUUGAGUUUCCCACACAUGAACUUCGGAGAACACACUCAAACCACAGCAGUCCUCAUGGAAACCUUCCAGAAAAUCUGCGUGCCUGGCAUUCCGGAAUCCCUCUUUUCCACCCCUUCUCCCUGCAGCUCUAACAUCGUAUUCCCUCAUCAUUUUCCAUUCGAGCAUAGGAAAGAACAGAGUCACUACACCCAUGUCUUAUGAACCUUUCCUACAUUAAAAUAAUCACUCACAUAGAAAUUUGUAAACAUAAAUUUUCAUUUUGAUAUGAGUGAAUAUUAAAUUCUUUUUUUUUUUUUUUGAGUAGUUUUGCUCUGUGGUCCAGGCUGGAGUGAAGUGGCAAGAUCU
Rhinopithecus roxellana (golden snub-nosed monkey) is the source of this 2178-nucleotide long non-coding RNA. RefSeq lists it as uncharacterized. The record is from RefSeq and is a predicted model, not a curated record. The transcript has 3 exons. Lineage: Eukaryota; Metazoa; Chordata; Mammalia; Primates; Cercopithecidae.